GACGAACGCUGGCGGCGUGCUUAACACAUGCAAGUCGAACGGAAAGGCCCUGCUUUUGUGGGGUGCUCGAGUGGCGAACGGGUGAGUAACCCGUGAGUAACCUGCCCCUGACUUUGGGAUAACUUCAUGAAACUGGGGCUAAUACCGCAUAGGAGCUCCUGCUGCUUGGUGGGGGUGGGUUAGUUUCGGUGGUUGGGGAUGGACUCGCGGCUUAUCAGCUUGGUGCUGGGGUAGUGGCUUAGCAAGGCUUGGAACGGUAGCAGGCCUGGGAGGGUGACCGGCCACAUUGCGCCUGAGAUACGGCCCGGACCAGUACGGGAGGCAGCAGUGGAGAAUAUUGUACUAUAGGAGGAGGCCUAAUGCAGCAAAGCCACGUGGGGGAAGACGGGCAUCGGUUAGUGAUGCGCUUUCGCCUGUGACGAAACGAGAGUGACGGUAAUGGGUAAAGAAGCACCGGCUAACUACGUG
This 468-nucleotide ribosomal RNA is filed under the name uncultured bacterium. Its description in RNAcentral is "partial 16S ribosomal RNA". It matches the Rfam family "Bacterial small subunit ribosomal RNA", at positions 28 to 507 of the family's 1533-position model. The record is from RNAcentral.